This 413-nucleotide ribosomal RNA is filed under the name Vanrija albida. RNAcentral's name for it is "partial 28S ribosomal RNA". It matches the Rfam family "Eukaryotic large subunit ribosomal RNA", at positions 101 to 520 of the family's 3401-position model. Lineage: Eukaryota; Fungi; Basidiomycota; Tremellomycetes; Trichosporonales; Trichosporonaceae. The record is from RNAcentral.
GGAAGAGCUCAAAUUUGUAAUCUGGCGUCUUUCAGGCGUCCGAGUUGUAAUCUAUAGAAGUGUUUUCCGUGCUGGACCAUGUCCAAGUCCCUUGGAACAGGGUAUCAAAGAGGGUGACAAUCCCGUACUUGAUAUGGCCACCAGUGCUCUGUGAUACACUUUCUACGAGUCGAGUUGUUUGGGAAUGCAGCUCAAAAUGGGUGGUAAAUUCCAUCUAAAGCUAAAUAUUGGCGAGAGACCGAUAGCGAACAAGUACCGUGAGGGAAAGAUGAAAAGCACUUUGGAAAGAGAGUUAAACAGUACGUGAAAUUGUUGAAAGGGAAACGAUUGAAGUCAGUCGUGUUCAUUGGACUCAGCCGGUUCUUCCGGUCUAUUUCCUUUGAACGGGUCAACAUCAGUUUUGUCCGGUGGAU